RNAcentral lists this ribosomal RNA (573 nucleotides) under Hyaloscypha sp. I12F-02294. Its description in RNAcentral is "eukaryotic LSU rRNA". It matches the Rfam family "Eukaryotic large subunit ribosomal RNA", at positions 49 to 635 of the family's 3401-position model. The record is from RNAcentral. Lineage: Eukaryota; Fungi; Ascomycota; Leotiomycetes; Helotiales; Hyaloscyphaceae.
UGCGGAGGAAAAGAAACCAACAGGGAUUGCCUCAGUAACGGCGAGUGAAGCGGCAACAGCUCAAAUUUGAAAUCUGGCUCUUUCAGGGUCCGAGUUGUAAUUUGUAGAAGAUGCUUUGGGUGUAGCUCCGGUCUAAGUUCCUUGGAACAGGACGUCAUAGAGGGUGAGAAUCCCGUAUGUGACUGGGUGCUUUCGCUCGUGUAAAGCUCUUUCGACGAGUCGAGUUGUUUGGGAAUGCAGCUCAAAAUGGGUGGUAAAUUUCAUCUAAAGCUAAAUAUUGGCCAGAGACCGAUAGCGCACAAGUAGAGUGAUCGAAAGAUGAAAAGCACUUUGGAAAGAGAGUUAAACAGUACGUGAAAUUGUUGAAAGGGAAGCGCUUGCAACCAGACUUGCGCGCUGUUGAUCAUCCGAGCUUCUGCCCGGUGCACUCGACAGCGUUCAGGCCAGCAUCGGUUUUGGUGGGCGGAUAAAGGCCUUGGGAAUGUAGCUUCUUUCGGGGAGUGUUAUAGCCCUCGGUGCAAUGCGCCCUACCGGGACCGAGGACCGCGCUCGGCUAGGAUGCUGCGUACUCCU